RNAcentral lists this ribosomal RNA (1399 nucleotides) under Staphylococcus aureus. RNAcentral describes it as "bacterial SSU rRNA". It matches the Rfam family "Bacterial small subunit ribosomal RNA". Lineage: Bacteria; Bacillati; Bacillota; Bacilli; Caryophanales; Staphylococcaceae. The record is from RNAcentral.
GCAGUCGAGCGAACGGACGAGAAGCUUGCUUCUCUGAUGUUAGCGGCGGACGGGUGAGUAACACGUGGAUAACCUACCUAUAAGACUGGGAUAACUUCGGGAAACCGGAGCUAAUACCGGAUAAUAUUUUGAACCGCAUGGUUCAAAAGUGAAAGACGGUCUUGCUGUCACUUAUAGAUGGAUCCGCGCUGCAUUAGCUAGUUGGUAAGGUAACGGCUUACCAAGGCAACGAUGCAUAGCCGACCUGAGAGGGUGAUCGGCCACACUGGAACUGAGACACGGUCCAGACUCCUACGGGAGGCAGCAGUAGGGAAUCUUCCGCAAUGGGCGAAAGCCUGACGGAGCAACGCCGCGUGAGUGAUGAAGGUCUUCGGAUCGUAAAACUCUGUUAUUAGGGAAGAACAUAUGUGUAAGUAACUGUGCACAUCUUGACGGUACCUAAUCAGAAAGCCACGGCUAACUACGUGCCAGCAGCCGCGGUAAUACGUAGGUGGCAAGCGUUAUCCGGAAUUAUUGGGCGUAAAGCGCGCGUAGGCGGUUUUUUAAGUCUGAUGUGAAAGCCCACGGCUCAACCGUGGAGGGUCAUUGGAAACUGGAAAACUUGAGUGCAGAAGAGGAAAGUGGAAUUCCAUGUGUAGCGGUGAAAUGCGCAGAGAUAUGGAGGAACACCAGUGGCGAAGGCGACUUUCUGGUCUGUAACUGACGCUGAUGUGCGAAAGCGUGGGGAUCAAACAGGAUUAGAUACCCUGGUAGUCCACGCCGUAAACGAUGAGUGCUAAGUGUUAGGGGGUUUCCGCCCCUUAGUGCUGCAGCUAACGCAUUAAGCACUCCGCCUGGGGAGUACGACCGCAAGGUUGAAACUCAAAGGAAUUGACGGGGACCCGCACAAGCGGUGGAGCAUGUGGUUUAAUUCGAAGCAACGCGAAGAACCUUACCAAAUCUUGACAUCCUUUGACAACUCUAGAGAUAGAGCUUUCCCCUUCGGGGGACAAAGUGACAGGUGGUGCAUGGUUGUCGUCAGCUCGUGUCGUGAGAUGUUGGGUUAAGUCCCGCAACGAGCGCAACCCUUAAGCUUAGUUGCCAUCAUUAAGUUGGGCACUCUAAGUUGACUGCCGGUGACAAACCGGAGGAAGGUGGGGAUGACGUCAAAUCAUCAUGCCCCUUAUGAUUUGGGCUACACACGUGCUACAAUGGACAAUACAAAGGGCAGCGAAACCGCGAGGUCAAGCAAAUCCCAUAAAGUUGUUCUCAGUUCGGAUUGUAGUCUGCAACUCGACUACAUGAAGCUGGAAUCGCUAGUAAUCGUAGAUCAGCAUGCUACGGUGAAUACGUUCCCGGGUCUUGUACACACCGCCCGUCACACCACGAGAGUUUGUAACACCCGAAGCCGGUGGAGUAA